UUCCAGCUCCAAUAGCGUAUAUUAAAGUUGUUGCAGUUAAAAAGCUCGUAGUUGAAUUUCGGGGUUAGUAGGUUGGUCAUGCCUCCGGUAUGUACUGAUCUCACUGAUUCCUCCUUCCUUAUGAACCGUAAUGCCAUUAAUUUGGUGUUGCGGGGAAUUUGGACUGUUACUUUGAAAAAAUUAGAGUGUUUAAAGCAAGCUAACGCUUGAAUACAUUAGCAUGGAAUAAUGAAAUAGGACGUUCGAUCUUAUUUUGUUGGUUUCUAGGAUUGACGUAAUGAUUAAUAGGGAUAGUUGGGGGCAUUAGUAUUCAAUUGUCAGAGGUGAAAUUCUUGGAUUUAUUGAAGACUAACUACUGCGAAAGCAUUUGCCAAGGAUGUUUUCAUUAAUCAAGAACGAAAGUUAGGGGAUCG
This 413-nucleotide ribosomal RNA is filed under the name uncultured Glomus. RNAcentral describes it as "SSU rRNA". It matches the Rfam family "Eukaryotic small subunit ribosomal RNA", at positions 583 to 1000 of the family's 1831-position model. The record is from RNAcentral. Lineage: Eukaryota; Fungi; Glomeromycota; Glomeromycetes; Glomerales; Glomeraceae.